Molecule: ribosomal RNA, 52 nt
Filed under: Lasiodiplodia theobromae
Lineage: Eukaryota; Fungi; Ascomycota; Dothideomycetes; Botryosphaeriales; Botryosphaeriaceae
Also listed under: 24 other names
Description: partial 28S ribosomal RNA
Source: RNAcentral
GUUGACCUCGGAUCAGGUAGGGAUACCCGCUGAACUUAAGCAUAUCAAUAAG